UACGUAGGUGGCAAGCGUUGUUCGGAAUUAUUGGGCGUAAAGGGCGCGUAGGCGGUCUUGUAAGUCAGCUGUGAAAGCCCGGGGCUCAACCCCGGAGGGUCGGCUGAUACUGCAGGACUGGAGUACGGAAGAGGUAGCUGGAAUUCCCGGUGUAGCGGUGAAAUGCGUAGAUAUGGGGAGGAACACCGGUGGCGAAGGCGGCCAUCUGGACGGAUACUGACGCUGAGACGCGAGAGCGUGGGUAGCAAACAGG
Molecule: ribosomal RNA, 253 nt
Filed under: uncultured bacterium
Lineage: Bacteria
Description: partial 16S ribosomal RNA
Rfam family: Bacterial small subunit ribosomal RNA
Source: RNAcentral